This 95-nucleotide transfer RNA is filed under the name Yersinia ruckeri. RNAcentral describes it as "tRNA-Sec". It matches the Rfam family "Selenocysteine transfer RNA". Lineage: Bacteria; Pseudomonadati; Pseudomonadota; Gammaproteobacteria; Enterobacterales; Yersiniaceae. The record is from RNAcentral.
GGAAGAUCAUCGUCCCCGGUGGGGCGGCUGGACUUCAAAUUCAGAUGGGGUCGCCAGCGGUCCCUGGCAGGUUCGACUCCUGUGAUCUUCCGCCA